RNAcentral lists this ribosomal RNA (255 nucleotides) under uncultured bacterium. RNAcentral describes it as "partial 16S ribosomal RNA". It matches the Rfam family "Bacterial small subunit ribosomal RNA", at positions 524 to 775 of the family's 1533-position model. The record is from RNAcentral.
UACGGAGGGUGCAAACGUUGCUCGGAAUCAUUGGGCGUAAAGCGAACGUAGGCGGCUAUGUAAGUCGGGUGUGAAAGCCCUCGGCUCAACCGAGGAAGUGCAUUCGAAACUGCAUGGCUUGAGUAUCGGAGAGGAUAGCGGAAUUCCCGGUGUAGAGGUGAAAUUCGUAGAUAGUCGGGAGGAACACCGGGUGGCGAAGGCGGCGAUCUGGGGUCGAUACUGACGCUGAGGUGCGAAAGCGUGGGGAGCAACAGG